This 290-nucleotide long non-coding RNA is filed under the name Phoenix dactylifera (date palm). Its description in RNAcentral is "long non-coding RNA (PDAC_LNC001325)". Lineage: Eukaryota; Viridiplantae; Streptophyta; Magnoliopsida; Arecales; Arecaceae. The record is from RNAcentral.
GUUGCCCAGUAGAUACAACCCAAGAGGGGGGGUGAAUUGGGUCUUUUAAAACUUUUAACCUAUUUCUAAAAGUUUUGAUUAAUUAUGCUAAGUUGUAUAGAUGCACAGUGAAAUUUAAACUUAGCAACAGUUUGAUGUAUAGAAUUGAUUGAGUAUGCUUGCAACUAAAAGAUGCGCGGAUAAGAGUUAAGCAAGCAAUUUAUCUAAGUAAGUAAGUGAGUAAGUUAGACAAUGAUAAGAAGCAUUAUAAACACAACAAACAUAUAGUGGUUCGGUGCGCCCCAGCACCU